This 378-nucleotide ribosomal RNA is filed under the name uncultured archaeon. RNAcentral's name for it is "bacterial SSU rRNA". It matches the Rfam family "Archaeal small subunit ribosomal RNA", at positions 691 to 1068 of the family's 1478-position model. The record is from RNAcentral.
CCGACGGUGAGAGGUGAAAGCUGGGGGAGCAAACCGGAUUAGAUACCCGGGUAGUCCCAGCUGUAAACGAUGCGCGUUAGGUGUAUCAGUGACCACGAGUCACUGAGGUGCCGAAGAGAAAUCGUGAAACGUGCCGCCUGGGAAGUACGGUCGCAAGGCUGAAACUUAAAGGAAUUGGCGGGGGAGCACCACAACAGGUGGAGCCUGCGGUUUAAUCGGACUCAACGCCGGAAAUCUCACCAGAUAAGACAGCUGAAUGAUAGUCGGGCUGAAGACUCUACUUGACUAGCUGAGAGGAGGUGCAUGGCCGUCGUCAGUUCGUACUGUGAAGCAUCCUGUUAAGUCAGGCAACGAGCGAGACCCACGCCAACAGUUGCU